UGCUCAACGGAACCUGGCAACGGGCGAGGAUGAUAUCGUGCCCGUCCCGUUGUUAGAGAUUAGCACUGUAUUAACGCCAAAGCAUGUAUUAUCAGUUUGUUCAGAGUUAUGUCCUACGCGUAUUUGUUGUAUUUCUUACACGCUCGAUGCAAUAAAUCAUGGGCAGCAGGGUUGGCAUGGCUUUAACUCCGGCCGCGACCUGUACCAAAGCCGGUUGGCGACGACUCCUGCCAUAUUUAACCAAGCACACGCCUCAUCCUCUUCCCCAACUCAUCAAGAACCCCAACUCUUUAGCAAUUCAAAGAUCUGCAGCUGUUCAUCAGUCCAACCUCCCCAUCCUCUCUAGUUCUUCUUCAGCGAAACCAGGCACUGUGUCUAUUUCUUCAUCCUCAUCGUUGAAUCCGAACUCUGUACCUGAAUAAGAACGACGGCCGCCGCAAGCACCAGGACGGAUUCCGCUCCAACGAACUGCAAUAUCACAUCCACGAAUAGAGGAGUCCCAGGCUGUUGUACUAGAUGCUCACUGGCAUGCUCGCCAUCGAGCUCCAGCGCACCUCCUGGCCGGCCAUCAUGCCUCACCACGGCGGCAGUGCGGCGCUGCGAGCUAACUCGGGCGGCUGAGGAGGGCUUCUUGGCGAGGCGCAGUGGCAUCAACGGUGAGUCGGGGCGGCGCCCACCUUCGUCCAGGCCGACAGCGAGUCGAGGCGGCGCCUCCUUCUCAUGCUCGGAAGUGAUGAGGACGCGGCGACCAAGGGCUCGGUGCUGUCUGGUCGGAAUGCGAGGACGACCGCCUUGAGGGCUGCGAAGGCGACGUCGUAGGCCGCCGAGAUGGGGUGCUUCGGGGCGAGGUGGUAGUUGACGGAGACGACGACGGCGUGGACCGCGACGGCGAGGGUCGCCACUUAGGGUACGUCGCGUUCCUGCUCUUGAUGGUGGCGCUCUUCUACCUCCUCGGGGACACCGCGUCCGAGACUUCUGCGCCUCGCUCGAGGGACUCUUCGCCGCGCUGCGCCUCCUGCCCGCCGUGGCCGGCGUCACGCUCCUCUCACUCGGCAACGGUGCACCGAAUGUCUUCGCCAGCGUCGUCUCCUUCGCCGCAACUAGCGUGCUCGGAGGCACGCUCUUCGUGUCCACCAGGGGUGGCCGAGGUCGUCACGGUCGCUGCCGGGUCACGCGGCGGAGCUAUCGUGAAGCUGCGCAGGUUCGUGCGUGAGCUCUGCUUCCUCUUCUUCGCGCUCUGCUUCCUCGUGGACGUGCUCGCGACUGGCACGAUCACGGUCGUCGCGUCCUUCGUCUCCCUCUAAGCCGCCUAGUCGUCCUCAUCUGAUUCUCUUGAAGUACUGUGGUUUUUUUUUUUGUUUUCUCUCAGUCCUCUUGUACCCUUAAUUUGUACAGAUUUUUCUUGAUCUCAUUCCUAUUUGGUAAAAAGGACCUGUAUAUUUUUUUUUCAGAUCCGAAUGGGUCAGUGUUAAGAGAAUGUUACUUUUGUUCA
Lolium perenne is the source of this 1492-nucleotide long non-coding RNA. RefSeq lists it as uncharacterized. The record is from RefSeq and is a predicted model, not a curated record. NCBI's taxonomy places the organism in Eukaryota, Viridiplantae, Streptophyta, Magnoliopsida, Poales, Poaceae.